CAAGCCGGAGGAAGGUGGGGAUGACGUCAAAUCAUCAUGCCCCUUAUGACCUGGGCUACACACGUGCUACAAUGGAUAGUACAAAUGGUCGCGAAGCCGCGAGGUGGAGCUAAUCCCAUAAAACUAUUCUCAGUUCGGAUUGUAGGCUGCAACUCGCCUACAUGAAGCCGGAAUCGCUAGUAAUCGUGGAUCAGCAUGCCACGGUGAAUACGUUCCCGGGCCUUGUACACACCGCCCGUCACACCACGAGAGUUUGUAACACCCGAAGUCGGUAGGGUAACCUUUAUGGAGCCAGCCGCCGAAGGUGGGACAGAUAAUUGGGGUGAAGUCGUAACAAGGUAGCCGUAUCGGAAGGUGCGGCUGGAUCACCUCCUUUCUAAGGAA
This 384-nucleotide ribosomal RNA is filed under the name Listeria monocytogenes. RNAcentral's name for it is "bacterial SSU rRNA". It matches the Rfam family "Bacterial small subunit ribosomal RNA", at positions 1159 to 1533 of the family's 1533-position model. Lineage: Bacteria; Bacillati; Bacillota; Bacilli; Caryophanales; Listeriaceae. The record is from RNAcentral.